GGAGUUACAGAGACAAAGUUUGGAGCUGAGAUGAAAGGAUGGACCAUGUAGAGACUGCCUUAUCCAGGGAUCCACCCCAUAAUCAGCAUCCAAACGCUGACACCAUUGCAUACACUAGCAAGAUUUUAUCGAAAGGACCCAGAUGUAGCUGUCUCUUGUGAGACUAUGCCGGGGCCUAGCAAACACAGAAGUGGAUGCCCACAGUCAGCUAAUUGAUAGAUUACAGGGCUCCCAAUGGAGGAGCUAGAGAAAGUACCCAAGGAGCUAAAGGGAUCGACAAGGGGUACUGUUACAAUGACUCUGUCUGUGUCAGCUGAGGUUGGCUGACUGUGACACUGUAAAUAAGGUUUGGAGUCAGCAUCUUUAGAAAGUUUCCCCCCUGAAGAGCUGGGGAGGGAGCCUAACUGGCAGAGAGCUUGCUUAGCAAGCUCCACCUCCCGGGUUCAAUUCUCACCCUUGCAUUAAAGGAUGUGAUGAUAUGUACCUGUAAUCUCAGCACUUUGGAGGUGCAGACAAGUGGAUCAGAAGUUCAAAGCCCUGCUUGGACAUAUAAAGGGUUUAGGGGCAGCCUAGAAUACAAGAUACCCUAUCUUAAAAAAAAAUCCUAUAAAGAACGUUCUUUAUCUUCCUUAUACCCCAAAGAAGAAAGAUGCUGAAGGCAAAGACACUGGAAGAGCCAAAGGAAUGUUCUUGGGGGCUUGGAGUCCUCUGAGGCUUAGUCCAUGUGUUCAUCAAGCGCAAUGCAUCAUGAUUAAAGUUUCAGGAGACGCUCACUUUCAUGCAAUUCUAGUUUCUUUUAAUUUUAUCUACUGAACACAAUACUCUGUAACAGAGAUAUAAGUCUUCCAUUCAGAAAUGCCAGAGGGUAUAUCUGAAUUUCUCCAUAAAAUGAGAUUCAACUUUGUAGUCUGUGCAGAAUAUGUGGGGAAAAAUGAUGUUUUUGUGUGUAAAUAGAAUGUAGCACAUAGACUAUCCAGAGGCUAGUUAUAAGUACUUAGCACACUAAUGCAGUGGCUUGGGCCUCCAAAUCCACACUAGUCCCUGCUUAAGAGUUCUGGAACGAUUCAUUUUUACUUUGCUGUGCCCCAUGAACAUCUCUAUUGAGAAUCUAAAAAGAAUAAAGAAGUAAGCCAUUGUCAAGUACACAUGACAAAGAGUCUAUACCUAAUAGAAAUUGAUGCAACAUGACUAAAACCGAAUUGAGUCAAGAACCCAUAACUUCACAGACUCAGUGUCAUACAGAACUGAGAACAAGAACCUAGGGAUACUAUAAUACCUUGAAGUGUGUUUCCAUCUCAAGCACAGAGAAAGGGCCGCCUUUUGGCUCAGUGUGUAGUCCUGUGCCUACCAUGGGAGAACCAGUAGGUGAGUAUUUACUGGAAACCUGACUAGAGGAAAGAGUCCCAGGACUCUGAAUAAAACAAGUUGUUCUGCUUCUGAGGAAAACAAAGGUCCAGUGUGAUUGUUCAGACAUCGGAAAGCUUCCAGGUGUGCUUUUAAGCUAAAUGGAAAUUACCAAGAAGAUUGUGAUGUACACGUUGCUGACGAGAUUGGAAAGGGGACGUCUAGCCAUUUGAUAUUAGGAAUGCUAACCUGUAGAUGCACUCAGCCAGACAAAAUAAAUGAAUUCCAAUGACACAGGACAUCCUCCUCCAGGCAGUAGGCAUUCCUUUUGAAAACGUUCAGGAAAUGGUCACAGGAUAAACAUCUCUGAUAAAAACCAGAUCACCUUUGCAGCUUAGGGCUGGUUAAUAAGAAAGCAUGGUGGUCAAUAAUAAAUCUGAUGAUCUUAUUGACCCCAAAUGGGUGAGGUUGGGGACAUAUCAAAGAAGUGAAUGAAGGUGAGUGUGUAUCACUGGCACAUCAAUCUUAGAUUGGAAUAAGCCUAUAGAUAAACGCAAAAAUGCCAAAGUGUAUGUGUAUUCCUCAAUGAUGUCUCAUUGUGUCUUGACUUGGUCCUGGAAAUCAUCCACGCUCUAUCUUUGAAAACAGGGUCAUUGCCACAAUUGACUUUUCCCUCUCUUUCUCUUCAGGCCCUGCUGCAAAAAAGAAGUAUGUCAGUUAUAAUAACCUGGUUAUCUAACCUGUUCCAUCCCAUGGAACCACAGAGGAGGAAGACCUUGAAUUAUUCUGUCACCCAGCCUGGCGUAGGACUCUUUUGGUCCUGCCUGCUUCCUAUCUCUGGAGGAGCUUCCCCACGCGGGAGAGCAAUGGCAGAGGAUCCACACAUCCUGAACAGCUGCUUUAUGAGACACCUUUACUUUAUCUUGGCUUAAGAAGUCAUUGGCAUCAGCACUGCCAUCUUGGCUGCAAUUCUGGACUCCCUACAGCAAAGGGAGAGUUGAGAUUCAAGUCCCACCCGGCUCUUUUGGAUGAACCGCUGAGAGCCUCAGGACUGUUUUUGGGGGGCUGACUUGUCUUUCUACGUACGUACUUCCAGGCUGCAAGGUUUUGAAAUUUUCUGUACAGUUUGUGAGGACAUUUGCACUUUGCCACUCAAUGUCGUACCUCGGUUCACUGUUUGUUUUUGAAUGCCCUGUUUUCAUAGAAUCCUAUCCUCUCAGAUGGUGGAAUCUUUGGGGAAACUUUAAAGUAACUAAUUUUUAUUUAAAAAAAAAAUCUCGGCAGACAUAAGAGAACACAACCCCCCAUGCACAUCUGUAAAUGACUGUAUGGUUAUGAUUAUAGUACCACGAAAAAUCAUGUUAUUUUUUUUUAAGACACACACAAAAAGAUACUUAAAGACCAAAAACUGUGCUGGGAAGAUAUGCCCCACCUAUCUUUGGUACAUGGUAGGUGUUGUGAUGGAAAUGGAAAGCAUUGGUUAAAUGGAAUAGAGGUCUUGAUCUUUGGAAUGCAUGCCGGUAAUGUAUUUUACAGUACAUGUUAAUAAUUUAUGUUUAAUAUUUGUAUUUGUGUUCUCUUUUGUUAUUUUACUUAGGGUAUAUGGAUAUUUUGCAAUAAUUUUAAUGAUUCUUAAGCUAUUUGAAGGAAAGAAUAUGGAUUUCUCAUGUCUUGAGGUUUUGUUCAUGCCCCUAUGACUGACCAAUGUGAUAAGGACUUUAAAAAAGAAGCAUGUAUGUUUUUUACUGUUUGUAAGAAGUACUUUCGUUAAUCUUGCUGCUUAUGUGUCAAUUUAGUGGAAAAGAAAUCCCUUGCUGAAAAAAAAAAUCCCUUUCCAUUCUCUUCCAGUUCUGUGGUAUUGUCCAAGAAUGUAUCAAUAAAAUACUUUGGUUAACUUUUUU
Molecule: long non-coding RNA, 3245 nt
Filed under: Mus musculus (house mouse)
Lineage: Eukaryota; Metazoa; Chordata; Mammalia; Rodentia; Muridae
Description: long non-coding RNA chr6:111563984-111567229
Source: RNAcentral